CCAAGGCUGGAAAAGACCUUCAAGAUCAUGCAGUCCAACCAGUCACCUAUCACCAAUAGUUCUCACUAAACCACGUUCCUCAACACAGAAUCCAACCGUUCCUUGAACACCUCCAGGGUCGGUGACUCCACCACCUCCCUGGGCAGCCCAUUCCAGUGCCUGACCACUCCUUCAGAGAAGUACUAUUUAAAAAAAUUGAGUCUUUAAAGAUGUGUACUUCGCAAGCUUUAUUUCCUCAAAGUGCAGCUGUAUGCUUGGAAAUGUAUUUAAGUUCAGAUCCAUAAACGGAGAGCAAUAGUAGUAUAUCUCCAGGGCUGUUGUCAAGUGACUGCAGCCUGGCAGUCAUUGUGAAGUGCACCAGUGUAGCUCAAAAAUGCCUCCUGCCUUUAUAUUUUGUAUUGAUCCAAAUUAUUUUAGUGCAUCCUAUUACUGAAGUCAAAAGCUUUUUUCAAGUGCAUGGGUGUUCUGUCUUUUUGUCAGAAGUCAGGUAUAUUGCAAAUCUUGGCAUAGAUAGCUUUUCUUUAACAGCUUAAGUUUAUUUAGAAAACAAGACUAACUAAGACAUUGCUAGAAUAGAACUGGUAAUGUGGAGAUGACAGCAGCUAUGUAAGGUUAGCCUGCAAAGGAAAGUUUGCCUGAAAUAAGACUGGCUAUAAAUCUGAAGCAUCAUAUUUGUUCCUGGCUUUAUAUAUAUAUAUAUUUUGUCAAUUUUUAUAUGGCUUUGAGGGUUAGACCCAGUAAGAUACGUGUCUAUUACAAGCUAGAAGCUGUAAUGGCAAAGUUUGUGUUACUGAACUGUGGUGCUGGAUCAGAAGCUGUGCUGGGUGUGUUGUGCCUUAUUUGCUGAACGAAGACGCACAGAUUUUGGAAUGCUUAUCUGUGCUUGAUUCAAAGCUUCAGUGAGAUACAUCCAGAGCACUGGGAUCACUUCCUGUCUUAACGUCAUGGUGCUUCUACCUGGCUUGCAAGUAACAGUGUGGAACUGGAGGAGAGGUGAUGAUUUCCCACUUUUAAAGCAAUGUUUCUUAAAUAUGUAUUUACCACAUACAACUCCAGUGAUCAACAGGCUUUUCAAAACAUUGGAGUAUUAACUCCUGCCAAGUAAACUAAGUUUAUGAUCUAUGUGGUUAGCAAAUAAACUUGGGUGCUAUGUUGAAAGUAAUUUUCUGUGUGGAGGUGGUUACACAAACCACUGGGUGAAGAGCUGCGAGUCACUCACCGUCCAUAACUGGCAGCAGAGAUGCUUCUGUUCAGUCCCCACGUGCGAAUUCUGCUACUUGUGUUAUAGGAAUGGGGGUGAAUGGGCUGCCAUGGGUGCUAAUUUUAGGGGUGGAAAGCAAGGGAGAAAUUACAGAUAUACUAGGAGUUCUAGUUUGGGAAGAUAAAUUGUAAGAGGGCAUGAUAGAAAUGGAUGUUCACCUCCUCUUAAUUUCUGUUUCAGCUGUAAGUGUAUUUGUAGUGAGCCAUAACCUGCAGUUCCUGCUGCCCAAUAAAUCCAAUUUUGGAUAUCAACUGAGGCUGACCUGACCAGCUCCAACAGGAGGCUAUUGGGAGCACUGUCCAGAGGGUCUGAGCAGAGCAAUGUCCUGAGAGAGGUGAUGCUUUGCCUUCCUGUAAGAUUGAUCUUGAGGAAUGUCAGGUUUUUGGAUUCUGAACAUGGUGAAUGCAUGUUUCCUCAGACUUGAUGGAAUUUUAGAUGCCCAAAGAACUGUCUGUUCAAAUGAUGAAGCAAGCUGUAAUCUAAACAGACAAGUCCUUCAUCAAGAAUAGUUACUGGCUUUACAGGAAGAGAUGCCUCACCCUGAGGAGCGUGGGCCAAGGAGUGGAAGAACACUGUUGUUAGUGCAGCUCAUCAUAAAGGGUUAUGGGACGAUUCAAAGAGUGGUUAUUCACAGUCAAGAGCCCUCCACACUGUAAAGCCCCUGCAUGGCCUUUGAAGAGCCUCAGUGAACCUGAGGAGCUCACGGUAUAACCAAGGCAGAGAAGCCAAAGCAACAAGGGAACGAAGCACGUUAUGAAUAGACAUGAGAAACCCACUGUUGUGUGCCAAAGUGCCUGUAUCACACACUGCCUUGAUGUAUCACAAAAGCAAAUCAGCGCUGCUAUUUUCUGCCACCUCCAUACUGCCAUAUUUUCUGCCACCUCCAUCAGAUGCACUUGGUGCUUGCCAGACACAGAGCAGAACUCCCCUUCAAGUCUGAAGCAGGAAAGAGGUGAUGGUGGUACCCAGUGGGACCUGGGUUCUUCACUGCAGUCAGAAAAUCUUUGGCACUUACCAAUGCCUGUUCAUUCUGUGCUCACCAGGAAACAGAAAGUGACAAAAAAUCUACCCAAGCCACAGCUUUAUUGUUCAGAACUCAAUGCCUGGAUACAUAAAUACACAACCUGACUUUUUCUGCCUCCAGACACAGAGAUUUCACUGCUGGACAUGGGGUGCUGCCAUGGGAAGGGCUUGGUACCGAUAGUGGUCAUCUGUGUGGAAAAGCCAUGGCUGUAAACAGAGAAACGGUUAAAAUCCUGUGCAGUGUGCCCCUCUCCUAAACGAUCACACUGUACUUGUUUUCCCUUUCUCUUCUCAAAAUUGCUGCCUUGGGGAGGUAAAGAAUUACCAUUGCCAUAAACCGUAAUCAGGAUCAGAUGUGCUGAGGGAAAGGCCUCGCUCAAAUAUCAAAGAGGCCUUAAGCUGCCAAAACACAGCAGAGGCAGGAAUCCCCAGGGAAUCAGAGCUGUAAUUUGCGCCUGACCUUGAUUCUAACCAGGAGAUGCAGUGGCCCCAUGAAAGCAAGUUUUGUUCCAUUUGGGGAUCCUCAUGGCCGUGGUGCAGGUCACAGCACCAGGUGCCAUGCAGGGCUGACGGCCACCCACCUGCUCCAGGGAUGUUCUUCUAUGCCAAGCUCCUUGCAGCAGCAACAGCGGUCCUGUCGGCCCUCUGGGGCAGUGGCACUCCAGCACUGCCAGUGUUCUCAUUGUGCAGCUGUUGUCUGGAUUUGGAAGCAAGGGAGAUAAGGGAGAUGGUUAGUGGGUAUGGAGGUGAUGGGUUGGGGAUUGCACUAGAUGGUCUUAGAGGUCUUUUCCAACCUUAACGAUUCUGUGAUUCUCUAACUGUGAGGAGGCUGUGAUAUCUGGAUCAGCUCUCAGCCAUUCAAUCAUAACAUCAAACAUUCCAAGAGAAAACAGACUGAUGUCAGCUCUGCAGC
Molecule: long non-coding RNA, 3197 nt
Organism: Lagopus leucura (white-tailed ptarmigan)
Lineage: Eukaryota; Metazoa; Chordata; Aves; Galliformes; Phasianidae
Exons: 5
Source: RefSeq, a predicted model, not a curated record